This 504-nucleotide ribosomal RNA is filed under the name uncultured bacterium. RNAcentral describes it as "partial 16S ribosomal RNA". It matches the Rfam family "Bacterial small subunit ribosomal RNA", at positions 30 to 523 of the family's 1533-position model. The record is from RNAcentral.
AUUGAACGCUGGCGGCAGGCCUAACACAUGCAAGUCGAACGGUAGCACAGAGAGCUUGCUCUCGGGUGACGAGUGGCGGACGGGUGAGUAAUGUCUGGGAAACUGCCCGAUGGAGGGGGAUAACUACUGGAAACGGUAGCUAAUACCGCAUAACGUCGCAAGACCAAAGUGGGGGACCUUCGGGCCUCACACCAUCGGAUGUGCCCAGAUGGGAUUAGCUAGUAGGUGGGAUAAUGGCUCACCUAGGCGACGAUCCCUAGCUGGUCUGAGAGGGUGACCAGCCACACUGGAACUGAGACACGGUCCAGACUCCUACGGGAGGCAGCAGUGGGGAAUAUUGCACAAUGGGCGCAAGCCUGAUGCAGCCAUGCCGCGUGUAUGAAGAAGGCCUUCGGGUUGUAAAGUACUUUCAGCGGGGAGGAAGGCGGUGAAGUUAAUAGCUUCACCGAUUGACGUUACCCGCAGAAGAAGCACCGGCUAACUCCGUGCCAGCAGCCGCCGUAA